AGCGAACGCUGGCGGCAGGCCUAACACAUGCAAGUCGAACGAACCUUUCGGGGUUAGUGGCGGACGGGUGAGUAACACGUGGGAACGUGCCUUUAGGUUCGGAAUAACUCAGGGAAACUUGUGCUAAUACCGAAUGUGCCCUUCGGGGGAAAGAUUUAUCGCCUUUAGAGCGGCCCGCGUCUGAUUAGCUAGUUGGUUGAGGUAAUGGCUCACCAAGGCGACGAUCAGUAGCUGGUCUGAGAGGAUGAUCAGCCACAUUGGGACUGAGACACGGCCCAAACUCCUACGGGAGGCAGCAGUGGGGAAUCUUGCGCAAUGGGCGAAAGCCUGACGCAGCCAUGCCGCGUGAAUGAUGAAGGUCUUAGGAUUGUAAAAUUCUUUCACCGGGGACGAUAAUGAUGGUACCCGGAGAAGAAGCCCCGGCUAACUUCGUG
RNAcentral lists this ribosomal RNA (434 nucleotides) under uncultured bacterium. Its description in RNAcentral is "partial 16S ribosomal RNA". It matches the Rfam family "Bacterial small subunit ribosomal RNA", at positions 29 to 507 of the family's 1533-position model. The record is from RNAcentral.